This 250-nucleotide ribosomal RNA is filed under the name uncultured bacterium. Its description in RNAcentral is "partial 16S ribosomal RNA". It matches the Rfam family "Bacterial small subunit ribosomal RNA", at positions 524 to 773 of the family's 1533-position model. The record is from RNAcentral.
UACGUAGGGCGCGAGCGUUGUCCGGAAUUAUUGGGCGUAAAGAGCUCGUAGGCGGUUUGUUGCGUCUGCUGUGAAAACGCGGGGCUUAACUUCGCGCGUGCAGUGGGUACGGGCAGGCUAGAGUGCGGUAGGGGAGAUUGGAAUUCCUGGUGUAGCGGUGGAAUGCGCAGAUAUCAGGAGGAACACCGAUGGCGAAGGCAGAUCUCUGGGCCGUUACUGACGCUGAGGAGCGAAAGCAUGGGGAGCGAAC